This 301-nucleotide ribosomal RNA is filed under the name uncultured bacterium. RNAcentral's name for it is "partial 16S ribosomal RNA". It matches the Rfam family "Bacterial small subunit ribosomal RNA", at positions 509 to 807 of the family's 1533-position model. The record is from RNAcentral.
CAGUCGCCGCGGUAAUACGAAGGGUGCAAGCGUUACUCGGAAUUACUGGGCGUAAAGCGUGCGUAGGUGGUGGUUUAAGUCCGUUGUGAAAGCCCUGGGCUCAACCUGGGAAUGGCAAUGGAUACUGGCAAGCUAGAGUGUGUCAGAGGAUGGUGGAAUUCCCGGUGUAGCGGUGAAAUGCGUAGAGAUCGGGAGGAACAUCAGUGGCGAAGGCGGCCAUCUGGGACAACACUGACGCUGAGGCACGAAAGCGUGGGGAGCAAACAAGAUUAGAGACCCCGGUAGUCCCUGUCUCUUAUAC